RNAcentral lists this long non-coding RNA (3894 nucleotides) under Gossypium raimondii (Peruvian cotton). Its description in RNAcentral is "long non-coding RNA (GRAI_LNC004723)". Lineage: Eukaryota; Viridiplantae; Streptophyta; Magnoliopsida; Malvales; Malvaceae. The record is from RNAcentral.
AAGAAAGCAAAAACAAAAUAACACUAAUAUUAUUUGUACUUCGGUGUCUCUGUAUACACUUUGGUGUCUCUAUUUGCACAUCUGUGCCCCUGUUUGCACUUCGGUGGUCUUGUAUACACUUCGGUGUCCCUAUUUGCACGUCUAUGGCCCUGUUCGCACUUUGGUACCCCUGACUACACGUAUGUGCCACUGUUCCGCAUAUACGAUGCCCCUGAAAAUAGAGUAAUGAACUAGCAUGUGAAUUGAGUACUAAGGAUUUGGAAUAAAUGACAUGGAUUGUUACAUGGAUUUGGUGUAAUUACCCAAGUACUAGAGUUAAGUUGUUAAUUCAUCGGGCUAUGAAAUAAUUGAAUUCUAGUUUAUUUAUGUGCUUAUAUAUUAUGACAUAAUUAUAGUAUUGGUAAGUAAAAGAUAUCAUAAUAAGUCUAUUAGUUACAUGUAUAGAUUGUUUGUAACAGCCCGAUUUUGGGCCUAGUCGGAACAGUGGUUUCGGGACCACAAAUCUGACAAGGAAAAAAUUUAUUUUUCUUAUAUUUUUAUGGUCUACGAUUUCACGAAAUUAUUUUGUAAAAAUUUUGUUCGAAAAUUUCGACGUUUGGGCACUCAAUUUAGUCAAAAGGACUAAAUUGUAAAAAGUGCAAAAGUUGAGUUCUACAAGUUAGAGGUGUCUAAUUAUUAUGAAAUUUUAAAUUGGAGGUCCUUAAAUGGUAAUUAGACCAUUGGUUAUUUAUGGACAAAAAUAGACAUGGUUAGUAAGUAAGCUAUUUAAGGGCAUUUUGGUAAAAUGCCUUAAUUAAUGAAUAAAGACAAAAUAACAUGAAAUAAAUUAUCAUCUUCUUCAAUUCUUUUCUUCAUGGCCGUAUGUAGCAAGGGAACACCAUGGCUAGGGUUUGUUCAUCUUCCAAGCUUCAUGGUAAGUCCGUUCUAGCCCCGUUUUUCUUGUUCUUUGUAUUUUUCGCAUCCCGAUAACUUGCUUAAGCUAUCUCUACCAUUAAUUCGAGCUAGAAUUUAUGUCUGAAAAAUUACCCAUAGAUGAAAAGUGUGAAUUUUGAUGUUUCAUGAUAGAAUAUGAAGCUUAGAAUUAUAUUAAGCAACUUUUGCUAAGCGAUUUUGAGUGAAAACGAGUAAAACGACAUAAUCGAUAAAAAUACUAAAUGUUCAUAAGUAAGUGUUAGAGUUGGAAUUUGAUGUUUCUAUAGAAGGGAAAAAUGUUCAACAUGUCAUAAUACAUAAGAAUAAGGAAUNNNNNNNNNNNNNNNNNNNNNNNNNNNNNNNNNNNNNNNNNNNNNNNNNNNNNNNNNNNNNNNNNNNNNNNNNNNNNNNNNNNNNNNNNNNNNNNNNNNNAGCUUCGGCUACGUAUCAAGGGAGGGACUGAACAGAGCCUUUCAGUGGUAGCUUCGGCUACAUAUCAGUGUGGCACUUAUGUGCUAAUUCUCUACGUAUCUAUGUAUAUUCCGAGUGUUCAACGGGAAAUUGACUAAGUGUAAUUGAAUAAUGAAUAUAGGUGUGGAACUGAAUUGAAUAUCGACUUAGAAAUGGAAAAGUGAAUUUUGAAUUGAAUUGUGAUUGAAAGUGAAAAAGUGAAAUUAUGAAAGAGUACAUUUAGCAACAAAACAGUUUAGACAGCAACAGUUGUGUGACUUUGAAAAAUCACCAAAAAUGGUGGAAAUUUAAUUAGAGGCUGAAUAAUAUAUGAAAUUGAAGAUUAAUGAGUCUAUUUUCACAUAAAAGAAAUAGAAAAAGCAAAAGAGUUAUAUAUUUUGAGAUAUUUGAAGUUUAAUUAGACAGAGUCAGAAUGAGUUUGGAAUCCCCUAUUUUGACUUUGGAAAAUUGUAAAAAAUUGUACAAAAAUAAUUAUGGGAUAAAGUUUAUAUGUUUAGAAUUAUCAGUGAAUCUAUUUUUAUUAGAAACAAACGGAAACUAUAUCCGAAUUCUGUACAGUGAGAUAAUUAAUUUUUAGUGAAGAGAGGUCAGAACUGUCAAACAGUGAAACAGGGGAAACUUUAAAAGAAUAAACUGUACUAUUUGGCUAAACCAAAAAUUAUGAAAAUUUUAUGGUAAGAAUAUAUGUGAAUCUAGUUUCGGAUAAAAUUUACGGAUCUUAAUUUGGAGUUCUGUAGCUCCGGGUAAAAAUAAUUUAGUGACUAUGACUCGAAUAGACAGCUUUGAAUAUACAUGUUAGUGAAUAGAGAAAUUAUAGUUAAUGUUGUUUAAAUGUGAUAUACACAUAAAGGAUGUGGAAUGGAGAGGAGGAGGAGGACAAUAAAAUGUAGGAAAUAAUUGUGUAUAAUGGUCAUAUGCCCGAUUAUAAUCGGUAAAUGUUAAAUUGAAUGGUAAAUACGUAUUGGUACCGAAGGAACUAUUGCGGUUUUGAAAAGCAAUUGACCAAAUGUAUAAGAAAUUUAGUCUUGAUAUAUAUAUAUGAUAAUAAUGAUAUAUGGAUGAUUAUAUCAUUGAGUUGCAUUGAUUAAUUCGGUUUAUGUCAUGGAAAUGUCAAGAACAUUUGUCUUUGAUAUGUGAUGAUCAUGGUUUAAGCUCAUAUGGGGAAAUAAAGUUUCAUAGUAUGAGAGUGUGGUAUUGAAAUAUAUAUAUUGGAUUGAGAAAUUAAUUUGAAUUGUGAACACGAAAUAUUGUGAAUUGAAUAAAAUGGAAAUGGAGCUUUGAAUUACAUAAGUAAGUAUCGGGUCUCGUAGGCCCUAUUUGUUAUGAAUAUAAUAUUUUGAGGAUAUGUUAUAAAGAAUUAUAAAAGCAUGUUAAAAAUUUGAAGAGUUUAAAUUUGAAUGAAAUUUUGUAACUCAGUUUAAUACGUUUACAUGUGUAAGUGUUCUAGUAAUGCCUCAUACCCUAUUCCGGAGUUGAAUACGGGUAAGGGGUGUUACAUUGUUACUUUGAAAAUAUGUGAUUUAUGGCAUGAAAAAGUCCUUUGAAAUGAAGGUUGUUUUCAUGUAUUUGAAUUGAAAAUGUAACAUUUGAGUUAUGUGGACGAAUGAUUUAGAUUGUGAAAUUCUUUUCACGAUAUGAAUGAAAUUCUUUUCACGAUAUGAAUGUGUAAUUAAAGCUUUACAGAAUAUAUGACUGUAUAAAAUGAUCUAUGAUUUAAUGUACGAAUAGGGAAUUUAUGAUAAGCUUGGUUAAAAUAAGACGAAGGUAUAUAGUAGUCAUAUAAUAGAUGAAUGGUGAAAUUGAAAUGCUUGAUAUAUUAUAUGCCUUGUUUUGGUUGGAUUUAUAUGUGUAUUGCUUCACCUAUUAACCUUGUGAAGUAUGAUGUAUAGGAAAAAGAAAUUUGGUUUAUGAUAAAAUGAGGUUUCUCAUGGUUGGUUAAUCUAAUGCAAUUGGUAAGUUUAAGUUAUUUUAUAUGAACUCACCAAGCAUUAGUUGCUUAUAUAGUUGAUUUUCUUGUUUUGUAGAUCAUCGAAAAGCUAGAAUGGUUGAAUAUUUGUCAGAGCACGAUCCCACUAUCCAUCGAUCAAUUUUGGUAGCUUUUGAAUAUAUUGAAAUGGUUAUAAGUGUCAUGUAUAGGGUUGUGUGUUAUUUUGGUAUAAUUUGAUUGUAAUAAGGUUUUAAGUGUUGUUUUAGUGAUUUGUUUGUUUUUGAAUGGUGCCAAGUUCAUUUUAUUUAUGUCUUUUGAUGAAGACUUGUAAGAGAUGAGUAUUCAUAUGAGAUGAUAGUAGUUAUGCAUACUCUCAUGUAAGUAGAAAGGAGAAGGUUGUUUGAUACGUUUGUGAUAUGGUCAUUUGGUAUGUAUAAUGUAUGCUAAGGGAUAGAAGUUAUAUUGUUGAAUAGGUACAAAGUCGAUUAUAAUUGUUGUACCUAUUGUUGUUACAUUGGUUAAAACAUAUAGAAUGAUUGAUUUGGUAUAUUUUGAGUAAGUUUGGACUGAGUUUUGGUCUUAUG